GACGAACGCUGGCGGCGUGCUUAACACAUGCAAGUCGAACGGAAAGGCCCUGCUUUUGUGGGGUGCUCGAGUGGCGAACGGGUGAGUAACACGUGAGUAACCUGCCCUUGACUUUGGGAUAACUUCAGGAAACUGGGGCUAAUACCGGAUAGGAGCUCCUGCUGCAUGGUGGGGGUUGGAAAGUUUCGGCGGUUGGGGAUGGACUCGCGGCUUAUCAGCUUGUUGGUGGGGUAGUGGCUUACCAAGGCUUUGGCGGGUAGCCGGCCUGGGAGGGUGACCGGGGACAUUGGGACUGAGAUACGGACCAGAGGGCUACGGGAGGCAGCAGUGGGGAAUAUUGCACAAUGGGCGGAAGCCUGAUGCAGCAACGCCGCGUGCGGGAUGACGGCCUUCGGGUUGUAAACCGCUUUCGCCUGUGACGAAGCGUGAGUGACGGUAAUGGGUAAAGAAGCACCGGCUAACUACGUG
RNAcentral lists this ribosomal RNA (468 nucleotides) under uncultured bacterium. RNAcentral's name for it is "partial 16S ribosomal RNA". It matches the Rfam family "Bacterial small subunit ribosomal RNA", at positions 28 to 507 of the family's 1533-position model. The record is from RNAcentral.